RNAcentral lists this ribosomal RNA (1325 nucleotides) under metagenome. RNAcentral's name for it is "bacterial LSU rRNA". It matches the Rfam family "Bacterial large subunit ribosomal RNA", at positions 1561 to 2925 of the family's 2925-position model. The record is from RNAcentral.
AGUGGAUGGGGAGCAACCUAGUUGUGAGUGCGGAAAGGUAGUGCCAAGAAAAGCUGUCAGAAUGAUGAGAAUUGAGUCCCGGUACCCGAAACCGACACAGGUAGGCAAGUAGAGAGUACUAAGGGGCGCGAGGUAACUCUCUCCAAGGGACUCGGCAAAAUGACCCCGUAACUUAGGGAGAAGGGGUGCCACCGAGAGGUGGUCGCAGUGAAGAGGCCCAGGCGACUGUUUAGCAAAAACAUAGGUCUCUGCAAACUCGAAAGAGGAAGUAUAGGGGCUGACGCCUGCCCAGUGCCGGAAGGUUAAAGAAGUUGGUCAGGAGAAAUCUGAAGCUGGCGACUGAAGCCCCGGUGAACGGCGGCCGUAACUAUAACGGUCCUAAGGUAGCGAAAUUCCUUGUCGGGUAAGUUCCGACCCGCACGAAAGGCGUAACGAUCUGGGCGCUGUCUCGGAGAGAGGCUCGGCGAAAUAGGAUUGUCUGUGAAGAUACGGACUACCUGCAUUUGGACAGAAAGACCCUAUGAAGCUUUACUGUAGCUUGAAAUUGUGUUCGGGCUUCCUGUGCGCAGGAUAGGUGGGAGGCUAGGAAGGUCUGCUUGUGGGCAGAUUGGAGCCAACCGUGAGAUACCACUCUCAGGAGGCUAGAAUUCUAACUUAAUUAAGGACAGUUUCAGGUGGGCAGUUUGACUGGGGCGGUCGCCUCCAAAAAGGUAACGGAGGCGUACAAAGGUUCCCUCACACUGGUUGGAAAUCAGUGGCAGAGUGCAAAGGCAGAAGGGAGCUUGACUGCGAGACGGACAAGUCGAGCAGGGUGGAAACACGGUCUUAGUGAUCCGACGGUGCUGUGUGGAAGGGCCGUCGCUCAACGGAUAAAAGUUACUCUAGGAUAACAGGCUGAUCUCCCCCAAGAGUUCACAUCGACGGGGAGGUUUGGCACCUCGAUGUCGGCUCAUCGCAACCUGGGGCGGAAGCACGUCCCAAGGGUUGGGCUGUUCGCCCAUUAAAGCGGUACGUGAGCUGGGUUCAGAACGUCGCGAGACAGUUCGGUCCAUAUCCGAUGUAGGCGUGAGAAUAUCGAGAGGAGCCUUCCUUAGUACGAGAGGACCGGGAAGGACGCACCGCUGGUGUACCUGUUAUGAUGCCAAUCGUAAACGCAGGGUAGCCAAGUGCGGAGAGGAUAACCGCUGAAAGCAGCUAAGUGGGAAGCCCACCUCAAGAUGAGUAUUCUGGUGUAAGGUCACGGGGAGACGACCCGUAGAUAGGCACGAGGUGGAAGUGCAGAGAUGUAUGAAGCCGAAGUGUACUAAUAGACCGUCGGCUUGACC